This 253-nucleotide ribosomal RNA is filed under the name uncultured bacterium. RNAcentral describes it as "partial 16S ribosomal RNA". It matches the Rfam family "Bacterial small subunit ribosomal RNA", at positions 524 to 776 of the family's 1533-position model. The record is from RNAcentral.
UACAGAGGUCUCAAGCGUUGUUCGGAUUCAUUGGGCGUAAAGGGUGCGUAGGUGGCGCCGUAAGUCAGGUGUGAAAUCUCGGGGCUCAACCCCGAAACUGCACUUGAUACUGCGGUGCUCGAGUACUGGAGAGGAGAUUGGAAUUUACGGUGUAGCAGUGAAAUGCGUAGAUAUCGUAAGGAAGACCGGUGGCGAAGGCGGGUCUCUGGACAGUUCCUGACGCUGAGGCACGAAGGCCAGGGGAGCAAACGGG